This 2930-nucleotide ribosomal RNA is filed under the name Escherichia coli. Its description in RNAcentral is "bacterial LSU rRNA". It matches the Rfam family "Bacterial large subunit ribosomal RNA". Lineage: Bacteria; Pseudomonadati; Pseudomonadota; Gammaproteobacteria; Enterobacterales; Enterobacteriaceae. The record is from RNAcentral.
GGGUUGUGAGGUUAAGCGACUAAGCGUACACGGUGGAUGCCCUGGCAGUCAGAGGCGAUGAAGGACGUGCUAAUCUGCGAUAAGCGUCGGUAAGGUGAUAUGAACCGUUAUAACCGGCGAUUUCCGAAUGGGGAAACCCAGUGUGAUUCGUCACACUAUCAUUAACUGAAUCCAUAGGUUAAUGAGGCGAACCGGGGGAACUGAAACAUCUAAGUACCCCGAGGAAAAGAAAUCAACCGAGAUUCCCCCAGUAGCGGCGAGCGAACGGGGAGCAGCCCAGAGCCUGAAUCAGUGUGUGUGUUAGUGGAAGCGUCUGGAAAGGCGCGCGAUACAGGGUGACAGCCCCGUACACAAAAAUACACAUAUUGUGAGCUCGAUGAGUAGGGCGGGACACGUGGUAUCCUGUCUGAAUAUGGGGGGACCAUCCUCCAAGGCUAAAUACUCCUGACUGACCGAUAGUGAACCAGUACCGUGAGGGAAAGGCGAAAAGAACCCCGGCGAGGGGAGUGAAAAAGAACCUGAAACCGUGUACGUACAAGCAGUGGGAGCACGCUUAGGCGUGUGACUGCGUACCUUUUGUAUAAUGGGUCAGCGACUUAUAUUCUGUAGCAAGGUUAACCGAAUAGGGGAGCCGAAGGGAAACCGAGUCUUAACUGGGCGUUAAGUUGCAGGGUAUAGACCCGAAACCCGGUGAUCUAGCCAUGGGCAGGUUGAAGGUUGGGUAACACUAACUGGAGGACCGAACCGACUAAUGUUGAAAAAUUAGCGGAUGACUUGUGGCUGGGGGUGAAAGGCCAAUCAAACCGGGAGAUAGCUGGUUCUCCCCGAAAGCUAUUUAGGUAGCGCCUCGUGAAUUCAUCUCCGGGGGUAGAGCACUGUUUCGGCAAGGGGGUCAUCCCGACUUACCAACCCGAUGCAAACUGCGAAUACCGGAGAAUGUUAUCACGGGAGACACACGGCGGGUGCUAACGUCCGUCGUGAAGAGGGAAACAACCCAGACCGCCAGCUAAGGUCCCAAAGUCAUGGUUAAGUGGGAAACGAUGUGGGAAGGCCCAGACAGCCAGGAUGUUGGCUUAGAAGCAGCCAUCAUUUAAAGAAAGCGUAAUAGCUCACUGGUCGAGUCGGCCUGCGCGGAAGAUGUAACGGGGCUAAACCAUGCACCGAAGCUGCGGCAGCGACGCUUAUGCGUUGUUGGGUAGGGGAGCGUUCUGUAAGCCUGUGAAGGUGUACUGUGAGGUAUGCUGGAGGUAUCAGAAGUGCGAAUGCUGACAUAAGUAACGAUAAAGCGGGUGAAAAGCCCGCUCGCCGGAAGACCAAGGGUUCCUGUCCAACGUUAAUCGGGGCAGGGUGAGUCGACCCCUAAGGCGAGGCCGAAAGGCGUAGUCGAUGGGAAACAGGUUAAUAUUCCUGUACUUGGUGUUACUGCGAAGGGGGGACGGAGAAGGCUAUGUUGGCCGGGCGACGGUUGUCCCGGUUUAAGCGUGUAGGCUGGUUUUCCAGGCAAAUCCGGAAAAUCAAGGCUGAGGCGUGAUGACGAGGCACUACGGUGCUGAAGCAACAAAUGCCCUGCUUCCAGGAAAAGCCUCUAAGCAUCAGGUAACAUCAAAUCGUACCCCAAACCGACACAGGUGGUCAGGUAGAGAAUACCAAGGCGCUUGAGAGAACUCGGGUGAAGGAACUAGGCAAAAUGGUGCCGUAACUUCGGGAGAAGGCACGCUGAUAUGUAGGUGAAGCGACUUGCUCGUGGAGCUGAAAUCAGUCGAAGAUACCAGCUGGCUGCAACUGUUUAUUAAAAACACAGCACUGUGCAAACACGAAAGUGGACGUAUACGGUGUGACGCCUGCCCGGUGCCGGAAGGUUAAUUGAUGGGGUCAGCGCAAGCGAAGCUCUUGAUCGAAGCCCCGGUAAACGGCGGCCGUAACUAUAACGGUCCUAAGGUAGCGAAAUUCCUUGUCGGGUAAGUUCCGACCUGCACGAAUGGCGUAAUGAUGGCCAGGCUGUCUCCACCCGAGACUCAGUGAAAUUGAACUCGCUGUGAAGAUGCAGUGUACCCGCGGCAAGACGGAAAGACCCCGUGAACCUUUACUAUAGCUUGACACUGAACAUUGAGCCUUGAUGUGUAGGAUAGGUGGGAGGCUUUGAAGUGUGGACGCCAGUCUGCAUGGAGCCGACCUUGAAAUACCACCCUUUAAUGUUUGAUGUUCUAACGUUGACCCGUAAUCCGGGUUGCGGACAGUGUCUGGUGGGUAGUUUGACUGGGGCGGUCUCCUCCUAAAGAGUAACGGAGGAGCACGAAGGUUGGCUAAUCCUGGUCGGACAUCAGGAGGUUAGUGCAAUGGCAUAAGCCAGCUUGACUGCGAGCGUGACGGCGCGAGCAGGUGCGAAAGCAGGUCAUAGUGAUCCGGUGGUUCUGAAUGGAAGGGCCAUCGCUCAACGGAUAAAAGGUACUCCGGGGAUAACAGGCUGAUACCGCCCAAGAGUUCAUAUCGACGGCGGUGUUUGGCACCUCGAUGUCGGCUCAUCACAUCCUGGGGCUGAAGUAGGUCCCAAGGGUAUGGCUGUUCGCCAUUUAAAGUGGUACGCGAGCUGGGUUUAGAACGUCGUGAGACAGUUCGGUCCCUAUCUGCCGUGGGCGCUGGAGAACUGAGGGGGGCUGCUCCUAGUACGAGAGGACCGGAGUGGACGCAUCACUGGUGUUCGGGUUGUCAUGCCAAUGGCACUGCCCGGUAGCUAAAUGCGGAAGAGAUAAGUGCUGAAAGCAUCUAAGCACGAAACUUGCCCCGAGAUGAGUUCUCCCUGACCCUUUAAGGGUCCUGAAGGAACGUUGAAGACGACGACGUUGAUAGGCCGGGUGUGUAAGCGCAGCGAUGCGUUGAGCUAACCGGUACUAAUGAACCGUGAGGCUUAACCUUACAACGCCGAAGCUGUU